UUCCUCUUCAAUAGCACACACAGUAAAAUUAGAGUGAUAAACAGAAGAUUAGCAUGCCCCCUUAUACAAGGACGACAUACAAGUGCUUGAAGCAUUUCAUAUUUUA
This 106-nucleotide small nuclear RNA is filed under the name Chinchilla lanigera (long-tailed chinchilla). Lineage: Eukaryota; Metazoa; Chordata; Mammalia; Rodentia; Chinchillidae. The record is from RNAcentral.